GCUUUAAUCCUUCACAAAAUGCUAAAGUGCCUUUUAUGGAGGGCUUCUGACUGCAACUUAAUGAACCUGAAGUCUCAAAUUUUUUAUUGUUUAGCAGAGGGCAGUCACAUGCUUUUUGCGCUUCUCAGCAUAUCUUAAGCUCAGCCAUUAAAAUGAUUUUGCCACUUGAUUGCACGUUUUACAGUUAGUGCAGCAGGUGGAUAUGCAUAACAUAGGUGACCGCAAACAAUAUAAUGCAUAAAUAACUGAAUCAUACUUCCUGGCUCCCGUGUCACCCUGUCUUUGUUGUUAAGCCUCAUCAUUGGUUGAAUUUGAUAUACACAUUCAGACGCACUUACCCCUAGAGGAGUCCCCAAAGUGUCACCGCAGUGACGCAGUAAGAGUUUCCUUGAAAGGGACGGAGUGGUGACGGAUGAGGAUUUCAUGGUGGAGUCUGGUGACGAUUCAUGGGAUUUGAUUACGUGUUUUUGCGGAAAACCUUUUGCGGGACGCCCGAUGAUCGAGUGUGACGAGUGCUCCAUAUGGGUCCAUCUGUCCUGCGCUAAGAUUAAGAAGUCCAACGUACCUGAUGUUUUCUACUGCCACAGAUGCAGAGACACUCGGCCCACCACAGUCAAAAAGGAACAUUGAGAAAUCGUGUAUUGUGUACAGAUUCUUUGUUUGUAAAUGAAUAUAAGAUGUUCUCACCUGUCCCUUUUUACUUGUCUCAUCACUAUAAAUUAUAGUUUCUAUUAAAUUAAAUCUGAUACCCCUCUUA
Molecule: non-coding RNA, 757 nt
Organism: Misgurnus anguillicaudatus (oriental weatherfish)
Lineage: Eukaryota; Metazoa; Chordata; Actinopteri; Cypriniformes; Cobitidae
Source: RefSeq, a predicted model, not a curated record